UGAGGAAUAUUGGGCAAUGCCCGCAAGGGUGACCCAGCAACGCCGCGUGGAGGAUGAAUGUCGUAAGAUUGUAAACUCCUGUUAGAGGGGAAGAAUAGUACCGGUUGGACCGGUAUAUGACUGUACCCUCAGAGGAAGCCCCGGCUAACUACGUGCCAGCAGCCGUGGUAAUACGUAGGGGGCAAGCGUUGUCCGGAUUUACUGGGUGUAAAGGGCGCGCAGGCGGGAUAAAAAGUCAGUGGUGAAAUCCUACAGCUUAACUGUAGAACUGCCUUUGAUACUUUUAUUCUUGAGUUCGGGAGAGAGAGACGGAAUUCCAGGUGUAGUGGUGAAAUACGUAGAUAUCUGGAAGAACACCAGUUGCGAAGGCGGUCUCUUGGUCCGACACUGACGCUGAGGCGCGAAAGCGUGGGGAGCAAACA
Molecule: ribosomal RNA, 422 nt
Filed under: uncultured bacterium
Lineage: Bacteria
Description: bacterial SSU rRNA
Rfam family: Bacterial small subunit ribosomal RNA
Source: RNAcentral